CCUGUGUUGCUUACCUAUCGAAAGGAAUCCGACGGUCCCGUUCGUCCCUCUCCGCCCCCAGCCCWCKMGGGUUGCGGGGUGGACGUCAGGCACGCCCCGUGUCCCCGGCAAGCCUCGCCCAGUCGCUUGGCUGCCUCGGCCCACGGUGUGCUAUGCCCGUUCUCUCGGAUGCGGAACGUUGUGCGCGGGCGUGGGGUCUCGUUACGAGACUCCGUUCGCCCGAGCAACGCAUUUUGUCCCUCGACGCGAACGACCGCCGUGCCCGUCUUGAGCCCGCGGCCUCACGGCCCGUCGGGCUUCAUGCGGGCGUCGGCGUCGCGAAGGAACGCUACCUGGUUGAUCCUGCCAGUAGUC
RNAcentral lists this unclassified non-coding RNA (354 nucleotides) under Commiphora caerulea. Its description in RNAcentral is "partial external transcribed spacer". The record is from RNAcentral. Lineage: Eukaryota; Viridiplantae; Streptophyta; Magnoliopsida; Sapindales; Burseraceae.